This 70-nucleotide transfer RNA is filed under the name Leucophoroptera quadrimaculata. RNAcentral describes it as "tRNA-Lys". It matches the Rfam family "tRNA". From Rfam's summary of the family: Transfer RNA (tRNA) molecules are approximately 80 nucleotides in length. The record is from RNAcentral. Lineage: Eukaryota; Metazoa; Arthropoda; Insecta; Hemiptera; Miridae.
CAUUAAGUGGCUGAAAGAAAGCUUUGGUCUCUUAAACCAACAAAUAGUAAUUAUUGACUACUCUUAAUGG